UACGGAGGGUGCGAGCGUUGUCCGGAAUCAUUGGGCGUAAAGGGCGCGUAGGCGGCCUGGCAAGUGGAAGGUGAAAUCCCUCGGCUUAACCGAGGAACUGCCCUCCAAACUGCUUGGCUUGAGUCCGGGAGAGGUGAGUGGAAUUCCUGGUGUAGCGGUGAAAUGCGCAGAUAUCAGGAGGAACACCGGCGGCGAAGGCGGGUCUCUGGGCCGAUACUGACGCUGAGGAGCGAAAGCGUGGGGAGCGAACAGG
Molecule: ribosomal RNA, 253 nt
Filed under: uncultured bacterium
Lineage: Bacteria
Description: partial 16S ribosomal RNA
Rfam family: Bacterial small subunit ribosomal RNA
Source: RNAcentral